UAUACAACCUCAACUCAUAUGGGAUUACCCCCUGAAUUUAAGCAUAUUAUAAGCGA
Molecule: ribosomal RNA, 56 nt
Filed under: Musca domestica (house fly)
Lineage: Eukaryota; Metazoa; Arthropoda; Insecta; Diptera; Muscidae
Description: partial 28S ribosomal RNA
Source: RNAcentral